Molecule: long non-coding RNA, 326 nt
Filed under: Homo sapiens (human)
Lineage: Eukaryota; Metazoa; Chordata; Mammalia; Primates; Hominidae
Description: HSALNT0160234
Source: RNAcentral
CAGGCAGAACUGACCCAGAAAGCAAAUGGUAGUUAGAAAUAAUGCCUCGUGAAAGUAGACAACUCUCCACCGGCCAGGAUGACCAGAAGUUCAGUAAAUGUUGCCGAGGAACAUCUUGCUAAGUCGGCUUGAGGAAGACGGGAUUUUGUAAGCACAGAUGCCAGCAGGUACCAAGAUCUUGGAAAAUGAUGGAAGCCACACUGCAUGACCCAAGGGGAAGAAUUUAUUGCUUUUGCUCUUUUGAAAAAAAAUCCCUCCUCCAUCUUCCCCACAGAAAUCUUCAGCAAGAUGCUCUCUGUUCUUAAAGACGUUGUGUACAUUUGGUU